Molecule: non-coding RNA, 141 nt
Organism: Otolemur garnettii (small-eared galago)
Lineage: Eukaryota; Metazoa; Chordata; Mammalia; Primates; Galagidae
Source: Rfam
CCCCAGCCCCGCGAGGCUUCGCUGCCUCUGCGAGCCCCUCGGAAGCGUGUGCGACUUCUACUGCGGCUGUGCAAGCUCGCACAGGGGCUCCGCCCGCCAAGUCCGAGUCCGUCGGGGAAUCUGUACAGCUUACGCUUUCCG